RNAcentral lists this ribosomal RNA (253 nucleotides) under uncultured bacterium. RNAcentral's name for it is "partial 16S ribosomal RNA". It matches the Rfam family "Bacterial small subunit ribosomal RNA", at positions 524 to 776 of the family's 1533-position model. The record is from RNAcentral.
UACGUAGGGGGCUAGCGUUGUCCGGAAUCAUUGGGCGUAAAGCGCGUGUAGGCGGUCUGGUAAGUCCGCUGUGAAAGUCGGGGGCUCAACCCUCGAAUGCCGGUGGAUACUGUCGGGCUAGAGUGCGGAAGAGGCGAGUGGAAUUCCUGGUGUAGCGGUGAAAUGCGCAGAUAUCAGGAGGAACACCAAUUGCGAAGGCAGCGCGCUGGGACGUUACUGACGCUGAGACGCGAAAGCGUGGGGAGCAAACAGG